UUAAUUCGAAGCAACGCGAAGAACCUUACCAAAUCUUGACAUCCUUUGACCGCUCUAGAGAUAGAGUUUUCCUCUUCGGAGGACAAAGUGACAGGUGGUGCAUGGUUGUCGUCAGCUCGUGUCGUGAGAUGUUGGGUUAAGUCCCGCAACGAGCGCAACCCUUGAACUUAGUUGCCAUCAUUCAGUUGGGCACUCUAAGUUGACUGCCGGUGACAAACCGGAGGAAGGUGGGGAUGACGUCAAAUCAUCAUGCCCCUUAUGAUUUGGGCUACACACGUGCUACAAUGGACAAUACAAAGGGCAGCGAAACCGCGAGGUCAAGCAAAUCCCAUAAAGUUGUUCUCAGUUCGGAUUGUAGUCUGCAACUCGACUACAUGAAGCUGGAAUCGCUAGUAAUCGUAGAUCAGCAUGCUACGGUGAAUACGUUCCCGGGUCUUGUACACACCGCCCGUCACACCACGAGAGUUUGUAACACCCGAAGCCGGUGGAGUAACCAUUUUGGAGCUAGCCGUCGAAGGUGGGACAAAUGAUUGGGGUGAAGUCGUAACAAGGUAGCCGUAUCGGAAGGUGCGGCUGGAUCACCUCCUUU
RNAcentral lists this ribosomal RNA (589 nucleotides) under Staphylococcus pseudintermedius. RNAcentral describes it as "bacterial SSU rRNA". It matches the Rfam family "Bacterial small subunit ribosomal RNA", at positions 946 to 1533 of the family's 1533-position model. Lineage: Bacteria; Bacillati; Bacillota; Bacilli; Caryophanales; Staphylococcaceae. The record is from RNAcentral.